This 245-nucleotide long non-coding RNA is filed under the name Mytilus galloprovincialis (Mediterranean mussel). Lineage: Eukaryota; Metazoa; Mollusca; Bivalvia; Mytilida; Mytilidae. The record is from RNAcentral.
GUAGUGGGCCUGAAUUAUAGUGAAGGACUUAGUUGAGAAUCAUAUUGAAUGUAAAGUUAAUAUUAAAGGCUGCUACAGCUGUAGGCACACUUAUCCUAUUUAUGUGUUGUUUUAUUUAUUAAAUAAUUUAUAUUCGUUUGAGAUGGCGAAUUAGAAUAUAAGGGAAAAAAAUAGUACCGUUGAUCAAACGUACUUAUAUCGGAUUAAAGCGAUACAACUUUACAAAUAAAUUGUUAAGCUGCUCC